RNAcentral lists this ribosomal RNA (262 nucleotides) under uncultured bacterium. Its description in RNAcentral is "partial 16S ribosomal RNA". It matches the Rfam family "Bacterial small subunit ribosomal RNA", at positions 793 to 1055 of the family's 1533-position model. The record is from RNAcentral.
GUCCACGCCGUAAACGUUGGGCACUAGGUGUGGGGCUCGAUCGACGGGCUCCGUGCCGUAGCUAACGCAUUAAGUGCCCCGCCUGGGAAGUACGGCCGCAAGGCUAAAACUCAAAGGAAUUGACGGGGGCCCGCACAAGCGGCGGAGCAUGUUGCUUAAUUCGAUGCAACGCGAAGAACCUUACCAAGGCUUGACAUGUAGGGAAAAGCCGUAGAGAUACGGUGUCCUUCGGGGCCCUACACAGGUGGUGCAUGGCUGUCGU